UGUGACCUCAAAUCAGGUAGGACUACCCGCUGAACUUAAGCAUAUCAAUAAGCGGAGGAAAAGAAACUAACAAGGAUUCCCCUAGUAACUGCGAGUGAAGCGGGAAAAGCUCAAAUUUAAAAUCUGGCGGUCUUUUGGCUGUCCGAGUUGUAAUCUAGAGAAGUGUUAUCCGCGCUGGACCGUGUACAAGUCUCCUGGAAUGGAGCAUCAUAGAGGGUGAGAAUCCCGUCUUUGACAUGGACUGCCAGGGCUUUGUGAUGCGCUCUCAAAGAGUCGAGUUGUUUGGGAAUGCAGCUCAAAAUGGGUGGUAAAUUCCAUCUAAAGCUAAAUAUUGGCGAGAGACCGAUAGCGAACAAGUACCGUGAGGGAAAGAUGAAAAGAACUUUGGAAAGAGAGUUAAACAGUACGUGAAAUUGCUGAAAGGGAAACGCUUGAAGUCAGUCGCGUCGUCCAGGGAUCAACCUUGCUUUUGCUUGGUGCACUUUCUGGUUCGAUGGGUCAGCAUCAAUUUUGACUGUUGGAAAAAGGUCAAGGGAAUGUGGCAUCUUUGGAUGUGUUUAUAGCCCUUGGUCACAUACAAUGGUUGGGAUUGAGGAACUCAGCACGCCGCAAGGCCGGGUUUUAAACCACGUACG
RNAcentral lists this ribosomal RNA (635 nucleotides) under Cortinarius alboviolaceus. Its description in RNAcentral is "eukaryotic LSU rRNA". It matches the Rfam family "Eukaryotic large subunit ribosomal RNA", at positions 1 to 621 of the family's 3401-position model. Lineage: Eukaryota; Fungi; Basidiomycota; Agaricomycetes; Agaricales; Cortinariaceae. The record is from RNAcentral.